GUUCUUUUCUUUAUCUCUGCUUAUACCUUCGAGGAAUCGGUAUAAAAGCCGGAGCGUUCAAACCGGUUCGUCACAACUUCCCCACAACUGCUUCAAGGAAGAUAACGCUCGCACAAAAGAUCAUCUCAGUUCGUCAAACACAAUGGCCACUAAUUUGAAAAUUACAUUGCUCGUGGUUGCUUUGAUGCUCGUCGCUAUGGCAAUGGCGACAAAAGUCAAAAUAUAUUAUGGCCAUGGUGGUUAUGGUGGUUAUGGUGGAUAUGGUGGAUAUGGUGGAUAUGGUGGAUAUGGCGGCUAUGGCUAUCCAUAUGGAGGCUAUAGCGCUGGAUACGGACAUGGCUAUUACAGCGGAUACGGCUAUUGAGCAGCGUCUUGAUGAGUGAACGCAAGACUUGUGUUGUUUUUAAAAAUCCUGAUACACUUACCUUCGUUUUAUAUUUGUAUGCACAUACCCGGCAGGCAUAUACAUUGUACUAUUUUUCAAAUAAAGCAUGGCUAAGCAAUUCUGCAAUACAGAAAGAAUCCAUUUAUUUAAA
Daphnia magna is the source of this 536-nucleotide RNA transcript. It is a transcript of the gene named keratin-associated protein 19-2, with no coding region annotated. The record is from RefSeq and is a predicted model, not a curated record. The transcript is spliced from 3 exons. NCBI's taxonomy places the organism in Eukaryota, Metazoa, Arthropoda, Branchiopoda, Diplostraca, Daphniidae.